UAUUACACUAUGCUAUAGAGAUAGAACCUCUAAUAUGGCGUGAAGGACCAAAUAUAGGGCCGCUUGUCUUGCUCAACCAGUUCUUCGAUGUUGUAACACACUUGCUUUGAACUCAGGCUUGGACCAUUUUUUCUGCGAACUGUCCCAAACAUUAUACGGGAUAGCCAACAGUCUCUUAUCGGAUCUCCUGCACCUCAACAGAUUAUUGGUGCAUUAGAUACUUGCUUACGAUUCCCACCUCCUACGAAUUUGGGUCUUAAGAUGUGACUGCCAUAUAGAGUGUUAUUGAAAAAAUAGAAGAAAAAAUAUUAGUCGAAAGUUACUCGAAAGUGUGGAAAUAGUUACUAAUAAACAAAACUAAUAAAAAUUCGGCAGAAUCUCUCCUAUACAAUGAAUAUAUACCCCCUAUAGAAUGGGUCCAUGUCUUUUUAAAAUGAUUUAAUAAAUACAAUAAUAAUACAAGUAUUAGUUAAAAUAAUUUAAACCUGAAACUCUUGCCAAUAAUACUUUCUGAUAGCCGGUGGCACUGUCUUCCAUGAAUGGCCAGCAGGAUCCAUUUUUUGUAGAAAAAUCUUUGAUAUGGUGGAUGAACAAGCAUUAGA
This 602-nucleotide long non-coding RNA is filed under the name Ricinus communis (castor bean). RNAcentral's name for it is "long non-coding RNA (RCOM_LNC001347)". The record is from RNAcentral. Lineage: Eukaryota; Viridiplantae; Streptophyta; Magnoliopsida; Malpighiales; Euphorbiaceae.